RNAcentral lists this unclassified non-coding RNA (433 nucleotides) under fungal sp. Its description in RNAcentral is "partial internal transcribed spacer region". The stretch from base 1 to 46 matches the Rfam family "Eukaryotic small subunit ribosomal RNA", at positions 1786 to 1831 of the family's 1831-position model. Lineage: Eukaryota; Fungi. RNAcentral also lists the same sequence under 1 other name. The record is from RNAcentral.
AAGUCGUAACAAGGUUUCCGUAGGUGAACCUGCGGAAGGAUCAUUAACACGUUGUAUCAACGUAUCAACCAACCUCGACGAACUUGUUUCAUGUACUGCACAUGGUGUUUUACUUGUUUGGUUUCAUCUGAAACCAUGAAGGCCUUUGAGGCGAAAUAGUACGGGAUUAAUCUUACCUUUCGGGGUUCGUGUUCCUGUUUAGAGUAGUCUCUCUGUGCUUAGAGUCACUUGUGCACCUCCCUCCAUCUGCGGGUGGAGUGGAGUAUUUUCCAACCCGUUUUUACUAUGCAAAGCUUCUUUUCGGAGAGGUUUGAUCUUUACGGUCUUCAUUGCAUAGCAAAGACACUUUCUUAUUUAUUCAUUUCUAUUAAAAGGCGAAAGUCUUUUAAUAACAAACUCUGAACAACUCUGAGCAACGGAUGUCUUGGUUCCC